This 585-nucleotide ribosomal RNA is filed under the name uncultured bacterium. Its description in RNAcentral is "bacterial SSU rRNA". It matches the Rfam family "Bacterial small subunit ribosomal RNA", at positions 338 to 916 of the family's 1533-position model. The record is from RNAcentral.
CCUACGGGAGGCAGCAGUGGGGAAUUUUGGACAAUGGGCGCAAGCCUGAUCCAGCAAUGCCGCGUGAGUGAAGAAGGCCUUCGGGUUGUAAAGCUCUUUUGUCAGGGAAGAAACGGUAGUUCCUAAUACGGACUACUAAUGACGGUACCUGAAGAAUAAGCACCGGCUAACUACGUGCCAGCAGCCGCGGUAAUACGUAGGGUGCAAGCGUUAAUCGGAAUUACUGGGCGUAAAGCGUGCGCAGGCGGUUAUAUAAGUCAGAUGUGAAAUCCCCGGGCUCAACCUGGGAACUGCAUUUGAGACUGUAUGGCUAGAGUGUGUCAGAGGGGGGUAGAAUUCCACGUGUAGCAGUGAAAUGCGUAGAUAUGUGGAGGAAUACCGAUGGCGAAGGCAGCCCCCUGGGAUAACACUGACGCUCAUGCACGAAAGCGUGGGGAGCAAACAGGAUUAGAUACCCUGGUAGUCCACGCCCUAAACGAUGUCUACUAGUUGUCGGGACUUAAUUGUCUUGGUAACGCAGCUAACGCGUGAAGUAGACCGCCUGGGGAGUACGGUCGCAAGAUUAAAACUCAAAGGAAUUGACGG